This 1537-nucleotide long non-coding RNA is filed under the name Zonotrichia albicollis (white-throated sparrow). RNAcentral describes it as "lncRNA (ENSZALG00000009742.1)". Lineage: Eukaryota; Metazoa; Chordata; Aves; Passeriformes; Passerellidae. The record is from RNAcentral.
CUAGAUUUAAUGAGCAGUGCCAGUAGAAUUAAUAAAUCUUCUCAAUACUCCCUGAAGCAGCUGCUCUAUUUUGAAAUAAUGAGCAUAUGGUUUCAUUAUAUUUCAUUGGUUUGAUCCCCUUCAGCUAAAGAAAUAUUCCAGGGGAAUGCAAACAACUUACAGAAUUUCUGCAUAUUUCUCACUCUUUUUAUUUUUCCUGGCUAAAUGGAAAUCUGACUAGCAUGUAAAAGGAAGAGCCAGAGGCAGCAUUCAAAUUCCUUAAUAGGGGUUGUGUGAGGGGUGAUGGGGCCUCCAACAAUAACGAGGACUUGUGUGUGCCUUGAAGCUGCAGUGCUGGGAGGUUUCCUCAGAGGUUUUGUUUCUGUGAAAGAAACUGAGAGAAACAAGCUCAAGCUGGACUAACACGACUUAUAAGCCGUAUUCUAUAUUUAAAAUUUCUCUUUAGAGGCAGAAAAUGGGCAAGGAGGAGGCUGAGAAAACAUCAAAGCAGCUUGUUGAUCUAAAAUAUUCAAAAUCUAUAGAAAGAAAGGAAGUUAUGAGUUAAUUUUCAACUGUUUGCAUGAAAAAACCUUCCAAAGUACAGCAAAACCUGUUUUACUUUCUUAAUUGCUAGAGCCAUUUCCUUGCCCAGCUGUUUAGAGGGGAAACUGUUCAAUAUUUUGUCCACUGUGCAUUCUGCUGCCAACAUUAGAAAACCAGGAUCUGAAGUGAGAGUCAUUUGCAAUUUUUUAAAUAAGAUCCUCCUAGAAACUGAUUUCAAGCAGCUACAAGGUCAUAGACUACCUUUUUAAAGGAGUCAGAAUAAAUCAGGAAAAUUUACAUAUGUUUUCCUUAGGUAACCAGAUAGUCUUGUCACCUCUGGUGCCUGGAGGGCAGGAGCCAUUCCUGGAAAGUUUGGUGACUGAGAAGGAGGAUUUAUUGGACUGUGAAAAAGCUCACAAAUAGCCACUCUUGUGCAAUGUUUCUUCUCAUGUGCUAAAGAGACCAAGUACAGCAAACUGGAGACAUUAAUCAUCUGGAAAGGUAAGAAACAGAUUUUAGCCCAGCACUGGAAAUUAUGAGAUCUGGGUUAUAUAACCCUUGACAAAUUGUGUUUCUGUUGACAAAACAGAGACUUAACUGCUUUUUUCAGGGUGGUAAAACAUAAACAAGAGCAUACAACUAAUAUAUCACCUGCUUAUUUUCACAAAUGAUAAUCAGCUGAAAGGAUUUGAGUUUACUUUCUGAAAAAUUAAGGCACUUCCCCUCAAGAUACUACAUAAAAUUUUAAGGUAUUUUGUGAUGGAAAUCAUACUGUAAGGGAACAGAACAGGCUGGGGCAGGAUUAGCAAUGGGGACUCAGCUGCAACUCCAAGUACUCCCUCUUCUCAGAAGUCAAAUUUUACCCAGGAAUCUUGCAGACAUCCACUCCUGUCUUGACAGAAUGGAUGUGAGCAGGGCAGCAUUGGGCUGAAGCGCUGCAACCAGAUGUAGGACAUGGUCAUGGCACAGAGGUGGUGUCUGCAUAUAAAUGAAACCAAAGAAAUGCAACGGAGGU